Lactuca sativa (garden lettuce) is the source of this 768-nucleotide RNA transcript. It is a transcript of the gene named putative carboxylesterase SOBER1-like, with no coding region annotated. NCBI's taxonomy places the organism in Eukaryota, Viridiplantae, Streptophyta, Magnoliopsida, Asterales, Asteraceae. The record is from RefSeq and is a predicted model, not a curated record.
GCAUUAUGUUUUUGAAGAAGUCGGUAUCAAGAAUCAAAGGCGUUAGUUUGGAGGGUCGAAAACUGAUCGAAGAAAACUGCAAAAGUCCAUAUUUUUGUAGUCAAGUCAACUCCCAUUAAAAGUUAAAACCAGUUGUCCAUCAUCGUUUGCACAAUUAAUAGUCUUCUUUAAUAUUUCUCCUUCUCAAUCAAUCAAUGGCGUCUCGAAGUUUCAUCAAUCAAUGGCGUCUCGAAGUUUCAUCUUAUGGCUACACGGUCUUCACUUCGCCAACACUCGUUGGUCUUUCCCUUCUGCUCCACCUCAACCUGUUACCUGCUUUCGAUCGUUUUUCUUGCUCUCAUUGUAAAUUCCAAAUUACAAUUUCUUGUUUCUGUUAGUGCCUGAUCAUAGGUGGUUUUGUGAUGCCUUCAUGGUUUGACAUUCAGGAGAUGCCAAUAACAGCUGUAUAUCCUGAUCUUGGCCAUUCAAUAAGUGAUGAGGAGCUUCAACACAUGGAAUCAUGGAUCAUAUCCCGUCUACAAAGUGAAAGUUCUGCCUGAAGAUUUGACUAUCAUUGACUUUUCACUUGUAUACAUCCCUAUAUAGAUGCUUAAAAUUAUAUAACCACAUUAUAUUUGUAAUUUUUUUUAAAAAAAACUUAACAAUAUGUAUACAUAUAAGUUUAUGUUGUAUCAUGUAUGCUGGUUGAUAAAUGUUAUACCUUUUACUAAAAAAAGGGAUACAUUAUUGUUUUUGCAUAUUAAAAUUUGAUGUAUACAUCAUACUCAA